Molecule: ribosomal RNA, 309 nt
Filed under: Subasteron daviesae
Lineage: Eukaryota; Metazoa; Arthropoda; Arachnida; Araneae; Zodariidae
Description: partial 12S ribosomal RNA
Source: RNAcentral
AGGUAGUAAUUAUAAUUAAAACCUAUUUAUAUAGGCGGCAUUUUACCUUGUUAGAGGAACUUGUUAUAUAAUCGACAUUACGCGAUAAUUUUCACUUAUUCUAAAGUCUAUAUACCUCCAUCUUAAGAGUAAAUUUUAAAUAUUUCUCUAAAUAAACAAUAAUAAGUUAGGUCAAGGUGUAACCCAUUAAUAAGAAAUUAAUGAGUUACUAUAAAAACAAUUUAAAGAUUAAAACUUUAAAAUUUUUAUGAAAAAGGAUUUAAUAGUAAUUCUAGAUAAUAUCAAAACAUGAAUAAGAAAUAAAUGUGC